UACGAGGGGGGCGAGCGUUGUUCGGAAUUAUUGGGCGUAAAGGGUGCGUAGGCGGUUUGAUAAGUCUGAUGUGAAAUCUAUGGGCUCAACCCAUAGUCUGCAUUAGAAACUGUCGGGCUUGAGUAUGGGAGAGGUGAGUGGAAUUUCCGGUGUAGCGGUGAAAUGCGUAGAUAUUGGGAGGAACACCAGUGGCGAAGGCGGCUCACUGGACCGGUACUGACGCUGAUGCGCGAAAGCGUGGGGAGCAAACGGG
This 253-nucleotide ribosomal RNA is filed under the name uncultured bacterium. RNAcentral's name for it is "partial 16S ribosomal RNA". It matches the Rfam family "Bacterial small subunit ribosomal RNA", at positions 524 to 776 of the family's 1533-position model. The record is from RNAcentral.